Molecule: non-coding RNA, 369 nt
Organism: Pelobates cultripes (western spadefoot toad)
Lineage: Eukaryota; Metazoa; Chordata; Amphibia; Anura; Pelobatidae
Source: the annotation of a GenBank genome assembly
CAUAGGUUGAGGAGGCGGUGACCGUGGCGGUGGAGGAGGAGGAUGAGGUAGCCAAAACUGUUUUUAUAUAUAUAUAUAUAUAUAUAUAUUAAUUGGGGUAGCCCCCAAAAUAUUGGGACAUAUAAAAAAAGACAACGCUGUUCCGCAGAGUAGCUGUUGACAUUAUAGUUGCGCAGGAACUUUGAUGACUCUAGAAAACCUCGCGCAAAACGCACAUCCCCAUGGCUGGGACUUUGCAUGCGGAUGUCAUCCAUAUCAACUUUCGAUGACAAUUUCUGCGCCUACCAUGGUGAGCACGGGUAACGGGGAAUCAGGGUUCCAUUCCGUACAGGGACCCUGAGAAACGGCUACCACAUGCAAGGAAGGCAG